GACGUAUUUCUUACAGCUCUGAGCAAAAAUUCAAAAUGAAUCAAAACUUUCAACAACGGAUCUCUUGGUUCUGGCAUCGAUGAAGAACGCAGCGAAAUGCGAUAAGUAAUGUGAAUUGCAGAAUUCAGUGAAUCAUCGAAUCUUUGAACGCACAUUGCGCCCGCCAGUAUUCUGGCGGGCAUGCCUGUCCGAGCGUCAUUUCAACCCUCGAACCCCUCCGGGGGAUCGGCGUUGGGGAUCGGGACCCCUCACCGGGUGCCGGCCCUGAAAUACAGUGGCGGUCUCGCCGCAGCCUCUCCUGCGCAGUAGUUUGCACAACUCGCACCGGGAGCGCGGCGCGUCCACGUCCGUAAAACACCCAACUUCUGAAAUGUUGACCUCGGAUCAGGUAGGAAUACCCGCUGAACUUAAGCAUAUCAAUAAGCGGAGGGAAAAAAAA
This 439-nucleotide ribosomal RNA is filed under the name Trichoderma hamatum. RNAcentral describes it as "eukaryotic LSU rRNA". The stretch from base 45 to 198 matches the Rfam family "5.8S ribosomal RNA". The record is from RNAcentral. Lineage: Eukaryota; Fungi; Ascomycota; Sordariomycetes; Hypocreales; Hypocreaceae.